CUUCAGUGAUGACAAGAUGACGAGUCAGAAAGGGCACUACCUGCUCUGUACCCCCUGGCUUUGGCACGUUCUGUGCCACUGUGUGUGGGGGUCUUUGCAGAGGUGUCUGGACAUUGGUUGAUCUAGAGGCAUUUGUCUGAGAAGG
Small nucleolar RNA from Monodelphis domestica (gray short-tailed opossum), 145 nucleotides. Lineage: Eukaryota; Metazoa; Chordata; Mammalia; Didelphimorphia; Didelphidae. The record is from Ensembl.